AGAGAGAGAGAGAGAGAGAGAGAGAGAGAGAGAGAGGAAUAUAUACAUCAAAUUAGGAGAAAACAUCAAAACUCUAUAAUGCAGAAAAAAAAUAGAUAAAUAACAAAAGAUAGAAGAGCAGAAUGAUGAUAAUGAGAAACAAAACUGUCCGAAAGAAAGCAACACUGAAGACACAACACGAGAAAAGACGUAGUAGAAGACUUAGGAGGAGAGAAGAGAGAGAGAGAGAGAAGAGAGAAGAGAGAGGAGAGUUGUAGGUCGCCCACUUUCCCGUCCGAAGCUUCCUCUGUACUGGCUGGCUGUUGGCUGACUGGCUGGCUGGCUGGGUGGCUGGUGGCUGGUGGCUGGCUGACCGGCCCCGCCUGACUGACUGAGAGUGUAGCGGCCUCAGUCUAGCUCUGUUCUGCGCCCAAUACACCAACACCUCCGCCUCAGUGCUCAAGACUUGAGUGACGCGAGGAAGACAGAUAGAGAUGAAUGAAUAAGAGAUGUUAAAAGGAAGGAAGUGAAGUGAAGCGAAGGAGGAAAAGAAAAGGAAAGAAAAAUUGAAUAGUGAAAGU
Portunus trituberculatus (swimming crab) is the source of this 560-nucleotide long non-coding RNA. RefSeq lists it as uncharacterized. The record is from RefSeq and is a predicted model, not a curated record. The transcript has 2 exons. Lineage: Eukaryota; Metazoa; Arthropoda; Malacostraca; Decapoda; Portunidae.